GAUGAACGCUAGCUACAGGCUUAACACAUGCAAGUCGAGGGACCGGCGCACGGGUGAGUAAUACGUAUCAAACCUGCCCUUUACUCGGGGAUAGCCUUUCGCAAGAAAGAUUAAUACCUGAUAUAAAGGAUGGGGAUGCGUUUCAUUAGGUUGUUGGUGAGGUAACGGCUCACCAAGCCUUCGCUGGAUAGGGGUUCGGAGAGGAAGGUCCCCCACAUUGGAACUGAGACACGGUCUAAACUCCUACGGGGGGCAGCAGUAAAGAAUAUUGGUCAAGGGGCGCUAGCCUGAACCAGCCAAGUAGCGUGAAGGAUGAAGGGUUUUGGGUCUUAAACUUCUUUUAUAUAAGAAUAUGUAUUAUAUGAAUAAGGAUCGGCUAACUCCGUGCCAGCAGCCGCGGUAAUAC
Molecule: ribosomal RNA, 406 nt
Filed under: uncultured bacterium
Lineage: Bacteria
Description: partial 16S ribosomal RNA
Rfam family: Bacterial small subunit ribosomal RNA
Source: RNAcentral